GGCACCUACGGGAGGCAGCAGUGGGGGAUAUUGCACAAUGGGCGAAAGCCUGAUGCAGCGACGCCGCGUGAGGGAAGACGGUCUUCGGAUUGUAAACCUCUGUCUUUGGGGAAGAAUAGAGACGGUACCCAAAGAGGAAGCUCCGGCUAACCACGUGCCAGCAGCCGCGGUAAUACGUAGGGAGCGAGCGUUGUCCGGAAUUACUGGGUGUAAAGGGAGCGUAGGCGGGCUUGUAAGUUGGAUGUCUAAUCCACCGGCUCCACCGGUUAU
Molecule: ribosomal RNA, 270 nt
Filed under: uncultured bacterium
Lineage: Bacteria
Description: partial 16S ribosomal RNA
Rfam family: Bacterial small subunit ribosomal RNA
Source: RNAcentral